AAGUGCACCCCCCUGGUUUCGGCCCAGAUUUAGGCAGUAUAUAUGCCCUCUUU
This 53-nucleotide transfer RNA is filed under the name Platynereis cf. australis PA-2020. RNAcentral's name for it is "tRNA-Arg". The record is from RNAcentral. Lineage: Eukaryota; Metazoa; Annelida; Polychaeta; Phyllodocida; Nereididae.